RNAcentral lists this ribosomal RNA (497 nucleotides) under uncultured bacterium. Its description in RNAcentral is "partial 16S ribosomal RNA". It matches the Rfam family "Bacterial small subunit ribosomal RNA", at positions 28 to 507 of the family's 1533-position model. The record is from RNAcentral.
GAUGAACGCUGGCGGCGUGCCUAAUACAUGCAAGUCGAGCGAACGGACGAGAAGCUUGCUUCUCUGAUGUUAGCGGCGGACGGGUGAGUAACACGUGGAUAACCUACCUAUAAGACUGGGAUAACUUCGGGAAACCGGAGCUAAUACCGGAUAAUAUUUUGAACCGCAUGGUUCAAAAGUGAAAGACGGUCUUGCUGUCACUUAUAGAUGGAUCCGCGCUGCAUUAGCUAGUUGGUAAGGUAACGGCUUACCAAGGCAACGAUGCAUAGCCGACCUGAGAGGGUGAUCGGCCACACUGGAACUGAGACACGGUCCAGACUCCUACGGGAGGCAGCAGUAGGGAAUCUUCCGCAAUGGGCGAAAGCCUGACGGAGCAACGCCGCGUGAAUGAUGAAGGUCUUCGGAUCGUAAAACUCUGUUAUUAGGGAAGAACAUAUGUGUAAGUAACUGUGCACAUCUUGACGGUACCUAAUCAGAAAGCCACGGCUAGCUACGUG